Molecule: ribosomal RNA, 446 nt
Filed under: uncultured bacterium
Lineage: Bacteria
Description: bacterial SSU rRNA
Rfam family: Bacterial small subunit ribosomal RNA
Source: RNAcentral
UGGGGAAUUUUGGACAAUGGGCGAAAGCCUGAUCCAGCAAUGCCGCGUGUGUGAAGAAGGCCUUCGGGUUGUAAAGCACUUUUGUCCGGAAAGAAAUCCGCCUGGUUAAUACCCGGGCGGGAUGACGGUACCGGAAGAAUAAGCACCGGCUAACUACGUGCCAGCAGCCGCGGUAAUACGUAGGGUGCGAGCGUUAAUCGGAAUUACUGGGCGUAAAGCGUGCGCAGGCGGCUUUGUAAGACAGAUGUGAAAUCCCCGGGCUCAACCUGGGAACUGCAUUUGUGACUGCAAGGCUGGAGUGCGUCAGAGGGAGGUGGAAUUCCGCGUGUAGCAGUGAAAUGCGUAGAGAUGCGGAGGAACACCGAUGGCGAAGGCAGCCUCCUGGGAUGACACUGACGCUCAUGCACGAAAGCGUGGGGAGCAAACAGGAUUAGAAACCCCUGUAG